ACAUGCAGUCGAACGAAGGCUUCGGCCUUAGUGGCGCACGGGUGCGUAACGCGUGGGAAUCUGCCCCUUGGUUCGGAAUAACAGUUGGAAACGACUGCUAAUACCGGAUGACGACGUAAGUCCAAAGAUUUAUCGCCGAGGGAUGAGCCCGCGUAAGAUUAGCUAGUUGGUGUGGUAAAGGCGCACCAAGGCGACGAUCUUUAGCUGGUCUGAGAGGAUGAUCAGCCACACUGGGACUGAGACACGGCCCAGACUCCUACGGGAGGCAGCAGUGGGGAAUAUUGGACAAUGGGCGAAAGCCUGAUCCAGCAAUGCCGCGUGAGUGAUGAAGGCCUUAGGGUUGUAAAGCUCUUUUACCCGGGAUGAUAAUGACAGUACCGGGAGAAUAAGCUCCGGCUAACUCCGUGCCAGCAGCCGCGGUAAUACGGAGGGAGCUAGCGUUAUUCGGAAUUACUGGGCGUAAAGCGCACGUAGGCGGCUUUGUAA
RNAcentral lists this ribosomal RNA (486 nucleotides) under uncultured Sphingomonas sp. RNAcentral's name for it is "bacterial SSU rRNA". It matches the Rfam family "Bacterial small subunit ribosomal RNA", at positions 53 to 586 of the family's 1533-position model. Lineage: Bacteria; Pseudomonadati; Pseudomonadota; Alphaproteobacteria; Sphingomonadales; Sphingomonadaceae. The record is from RNAcentral.